GCAUUGCUGAAGAGAGUCCCAUACUAGGACGAAACGGCCGUCCAGUGC
Molecule: non-coding RNA, 48 nt
Filed under: Schistosoma mattheei
Lineage: Eukaryota; Metazoa; Platyhelminthes; Trematoda; Strigeidida; Schistosomatidae
Source: RNAcentral